This 161-nucleotide ribosomal RNA is filed under the name uncultured bacterium. RNAcentral's name for it is "partial 16S ribosomal RNA". It matches the Rfam family "Bacterial small subunit ribosomal RNA", at positions 355 to 509 of the family's 1533-position model. The record is from RNAcentral.
UAGGGAAUUUUCGUCAAUGGGCGCAAGCCUGAACGAGCGAUGCCGCGUGAGUGAAGAAGGCCUUCGGGUCGUAAAGCUCUGUUGCGGGGGAAAAAGGCAGCAUCAGGAAAUGGGUGCUGACUGAUGGUGCCCCGCCAGAAAGUCACGGCUAACUACGUGCC